RNAcentral lists this non-coding RNA (736 nucleotides) under Bothridium pithonis. The record is from RNAcentral. Lineage: Eukaryota; Metazoa; Platyhelminthes; Cestoda; Diphyllobothriidea; Diphyllobothriidae.
UGUGUUUAACUAUAGCAUAAGGAAGUGGUGGUCUGCUCAGUCGCAUAGAUAGUUUGUGGGGUUGUAUUUUAUUGGAGUUCAAUUUUGUUUCUAGCGGCUAGUUCUUCAUUUUAGUGUGAGCUUUUGGGGGAGUGGAUUAGUGAAAGGGGAUAAGGCACAGUGCCAGCAUCUGCGGUUAUUCUGUUUUCUUUGUUUUUAAUUGGUUGUGGUGGGCUGCAUUUAUAGCUAAGGUUAGGUAGAAUUUUCUUAGGUUAGUUAUGAGUGGUUUCAGUUUGUUAAAUAGUCUACUUGAGAAGAGGAUUAGAGACCCUUUUAUCUGAUUAUAUAUUUUAUGCCUAGUUUGAACUAAAAGAGUUUGGCAGUGAGUUACUCCGUUUGGGGGAAUAUGUGUAGUAAAGGAUGGUCCCCCUAAUAAUUGACCUUGUUUAUGUUGGUGUAUAUCUGGUUUAAUAUUAUUGCUUAGUGGUUUGAAUUUGUGUAUUAAUCUUUAAGCCAAGUCUAUGUGCUGCAUAUUAAGGGCUGACAUUUGUUACAUUUAUAUAUGGGGUUUUGUGAUAAAUCUUGGUUUAGGACUCAAUAGUAAUGCUUAUUCAGGGUGUUGGCGUGAAUUUGGUUUGACUCAGGUACACACCGCCCGUCACUCUCGACUAUUGUUGAGAUAAGUCGUAACAAGGUAGCCCAAGAGGAAUCUUGGGCUAGUUUCCUGAGUGGUAAGUAUUGAAGGGAGAGGGAAGUA